RNAcentral lists this transfer RNA (73 nucleotides) under Methyloligella halotolerans. It matches the Rfam family "tRNA". Rfam says of the family: Transfer RNA (tRNA) molecules are approximately 80 nucleotides in length. Their secondary structure includes four short double-helical elements and three loops (D, anti-codon, and T loops). The record is from Rfam by way of RNAcentral. Lineage: Bacteria; Pseudomonadati; Pseudomonadota; Alphaproteobacteria; Hyphomicrobiales; Hyphomicrobiaceae.
GAGCCGGUAGCUCAGCUGGUAGAGCAACUGACUUUUAAUCAGUAGGUCCAGGGUUCGAAUCCCUGCCGGCUCA